AAGCAGUGAAUAGAAUGGGAAAAACAGGGUUACUGUGAAAAUCCUUCUGUCUUACCGUUUGGCAUAGGUUAAAGACAGCCCUAUGGGAGCUAGACUAUCCAUCUCAUCAUGUUCCUGCCUAUCACUGGCCUGCCUUCCAGCUGACAGCAACAAGGAGUUACCUCCCGGUGAAAAGUACUUUGGUUGACUAUGAGAAACAGAAGGAGGAGUGGCUGUGGUUUCUUUCUAUACCUGCAGGUGGUCAAUAAUUUUUCCAAAUCCUGAUACUACGUACGGUUUUGAAAAGGAUGAAGAUUUGUG
This 300-nucleotide long non-coding RNA is filed under the name Struthio camelus australis. Its description in RNAcentral is "lncRNA (ENSSCUG00000007284.1)". The record is from RNAcentral. Lineage: Eukaryota; Metazoa; Chordata; Aves; Struthioniformes; Struthionidae.